Molecule: ribosomal RNA, 332 nt
Filed under: uncultured bacterium
Lineage: Bacteria
Description: partial 16S ribosomal RNA
Rfam family: Bacterial small subunit ribosomal RNA
Source: RNAcentral
CCUACGGGAGGCAGCAGUGAGGAAUAGUGGUCAAUGGACGCAAGUCUGAACCAGCCAUGCCGCGUGCAGGAAGACGGCUCUAUGAGUUGUAAACUGCUUUUGUACGAGGGGAAACGCAGAUACGCGUAUCUGUCUGAAAGUAACGUACGAAUAAGGAUCGGCUAACUCCGUGCCAGCAGCCGCGGUAAUACGGAGGAUUCAAGCGUUAUCCGGCUUUAUUGGGUUUAUUGGGUGCGUAGGCGGUCGGAUAAGGUAGAGGUGAAAUCCCGAGGCUCAACUUCGGAAUUGCCUCUGAUACUGUUCGGCUAGAGCGUAGUUGCGGUAGGCGGCAU